GGAUGUGAGGGCGAUCUGACUGUGACAUCUGUCACCCCAUUGACAGCCAGGUUGCUGCUGCUGAUGUGGCUAGUUAAUUGGGUGUUCUCUACCUCACUGCUUCAUUUUCAUCCCUCCUGAAGCUGUGCAUGAGAUUGAACAGGAAGAGGAUGGCCUCCCCCGAUAGAGGAGGGUUGUUUUUCAGUCACCAGUAUAUGGGUAUCUGGUAUGUGGGUAGCUGCGUGCUCCCUUUUCCCUGGUAGAAGCUGCAAACAAGCUGUAAAGGUCAAUUUGUAAGAGAACUAGGGUACUCAAGCUUCUAAAACUCCAGACACAUCCAAAUGAGGUUCUGCAAGUGGCAGUCUGCCUUAAAAG
This is a non-coding RNA of Pteropus alecto (black flying fox), 354 nucleotides long. NCBI's taxonomy places the organism in Eukaryota, Metazoa, Chordata, Mammalia, Chiroptera, Pteropodidae. The record is from Rfam.